AUGGUGGAUCAGUUAACUCUCAUUUUAUAUAUAGGCUUAUGUUUGUAAUAUGUAUGCGCUAAUGCAGAACACAUAGACCCUGGAAUAAUCUUAUGCACAUGGAUCAUCAAGGACACGUUAAAAUCUGUGACUUCGGCCUGGCAAAGCAGAGCAUCUUUUAUGACGACCUAUCAACUGGCUGGGCCGGAACCCUGCAGUGGCCACAAUUUGUCUUUUAGACAUUUGAAAAGGUUCUCCUGUGCUGGGAAAGAAGAGUUACAGUUUUAUGGAGCAUUAAGUGCAGUACAUGGGAGCAGCAAAAUUCAUUAUUAGCUAUUGAACUAUUAACUAUAGGAGCUCUUCAUUAACUAUUAUUAUUCAAAAGGUGAAAAUAAAAUGUAUUUUCCUUUCUAGGAGAAGCUGGACCUGUGAGUGCAGAAGCUCAACCUUCAAAGCUAAACCCGCUCAGUAUCUCCAGUUACAACUUCUACUCUAAGUUGGGAGCAGGAGGAUACGGCAAAGUAAUGCUGGCUUCGUUAGGAGACCGGAGGCCAUAUGUGGCUGUAAAAUCUGUCAGCAAACAAGAGGCCCCAAAUUACAGCAACAUUCUCUCAGAGUCUCAAGUGCUGAACAUCGCCAGACACAGCCCAUUUCUUUGCCAAGGCUAUGCCGCUUUUCAAACCCAGUGGCAUGCCUUCUAUGUAAUGGAGUACCUGAGUGGGGGCAGCCUUGAGGAUGAGCUGAAGCUACACGGGACGCUGUCCAUGGACAGAGUACGGUAAGUAUUACAUGGCACUAGUACAAUAUGACUUAUAGAUAGCUUUAUACCAUUUGUGCCUAUAAGAAGGAUGGAUUAUAAAAUGUGUUCACUUUAGCACUAGGGAGCAGUGUCGGACUGGCCCACUGGGAUACCAGG
Xenopus laevis (African clawed frog) is the source of this 895-nucleotide long non-coding RNA. RefSeq lists it as uncharacterized. The record is from RefSeq and is a predicted model, not a curated record. Lineage: Eukaryota; Metazoa; Chordata; Amphibia; Anura; Pipidae. The transcript has 3 exons.